GAUUAACGCUGGCGGCAUGCCUAAUACAUGCAAGUCGAACGGAAGCAGCAAUGCUUUAGUGGCGAACGGGUGAGUAACACGUAGGGAACCUACCUAUACGACGAGGAUAACUACUGGAAACGGUAGCUAAAACUGGAUAGGAUCAAUUGAGGCAUCUUGAUUGAUUUAAAGAUCCUUCGGGAUUACGUAGAGAUGGCCCUGCGGCGCAUUAGCUAGUUGGUGAGGUAACGGCCACCAAGGCGACGAUGCGUAGCUGAGCUGAGAGGCUAACAGCCACACUGGGACUGAGACACGGCCCAGACUCCUACGGAGGCAGCAGUAGGGAAUUUUCGGCAAUGGGGGAAACCCUGACCGAGCAAUGCCGCGUGAACGAUGAAGGUCUUCGGAUUGUAAAGUUCUGUGAUUGGGGAAGAAUGGUAUUCUUAGGGAAUGAGGAGUACAUGAC
RNAcentral lists this ribosomal RNA (445 nucleotides) under uncultured bacterium. Its description in RNAcentral is "bacterial SSU rRNA". It matches the Rfam family "Bacterial small subunit ribosomal RNA", at positions 28 to 473 of the family's 1533-position model. The record is from RNAcentral.